AUCUCUUCUCUGCCUUUUGGCUAAGAUCAAGUGUAAUAUCUGUUCUUACCAGUUUAAUAUCUGAUAUGUCCCCCACCCAGGGACCAUAUAUUAAAUAGAUUUUUGGGGCAGGGCGCUGGCACAGGGGCUUGUUCCUUCCACUCCACACAUCGACCUGGUAUUGCAGUACCUCCAGGUACAGAAAAAAAACC
Molecule: small nuclear RNA, 191 nt
Organism: Lates calcarifer (barramundi perch)
Lineage: Eukaryota; Metazoa; Chordata; Actinopteri; Centropomidae
Gene: U2
Rfam family: U2 spliceosomal RNA
About the family: U2 is a small nuclear RNA (snRNA) component of the spliceosome (involved in pre-mRNA splicing). Complementary binding between U2 snRNA (in an area lying towards the 5' end but 3' to hairpin I) and the branchpoint sequence (BPS) of the intron results the bulging out of an unpaired adenosine, on the BPS, which initiates a nucleophilic attack at the intronic 5' splice site, thus starting the first of two transesterification reactions that mediate splicing.
Source: Ensembl